Chelonia mydas (Green sea turtle) is the source of this 317-nucleotide long non-coding RNA. RefSeq lists it as uncharacterized. Lineage: Eukaryota; Metazoa; Chordata; Testudines; Cheloniidae. The record is from RefSeq and is a predicted model, not a curated record. The transcript has 3 exons.
UUGUACGCUUCACCUCUCCUCUUUGUAUGAGCUUCAAGUGUAUCGAUUACAGCGUAGUAACACGCUGUUAAAGAGGAGCCACCACGCCCACCACUGAAAUGCAGCCACCUCUGGGCUGGAACAUGGCAGAUGCGUAACUGUGCAGAGCAGCAUUCCACACCAGUUUAGGAUAAGGGAACUCGAAAGGAUCGGCACUACAAAGCCAGAGCAAGACCCCGCGGCUCCCCCGGCGCCCCCUCCGCCUCUGGGCCAGGCAGUGCGAUGGCUUGUCGCUGGCCGCAGCGCACACUCAAUUCCUCCUCUGCAGCCAGGGCUGA